UGGGGAAUUUUGGACAAUGGGGGCAACCCUGAUCCAGCCAUGCCGCGUGAGUGAAGAAGGCCUUCGGGUUGUAAAGCUCUUUCGCACGUGACGAUUAUGACGGUAACGUGAGAAGAAGCCCCGGCUAACUUCGUGCCAGCAGCCGCGGUAAUACGGAGGGUGCAAGCGUUAUCCGGAUUCACUGGGUUUAAAGGGUGCGUAGGCGGGUAGGUAAGUCAGUGGUGAAAUCCUUGAGCUCAACUCGAGAACUGCCAUUGAUACUAUUUAUCUUGAAUAUUGUGGAGGUAAGCGGAAUAUGUCAUGUAGCGGUGAAAUGCUUAGAUAUGACAUAGAACACCUAUUGCGAAGGCAGCUUACUACGCAUAUAUUGACGCUGAGGCACGAAAGCGUGGGGAUCAAACAGG
RNAcentral lists this ribosomal RNA (404 nucleotides) under uncultured bacterium. RNAcentral's name for it is "bacterial SSU rRNA". It matches the Rfam family "Bacterial small subunit ribosomal RNA", at positions 355 to 776 of the family's 1533-position model. The record is from RNAcentral.